This 508-nucleotide ribosomal RNA is filed under the name uncultured bacterium. RNAcentral describes it as "partial 16S ribosomal RNA". It matches the Rfam family "Bacterial small subunit ribosomal RNA", at positions 30 to 523 of the family's 1533-position model. The record is from RNAcentral.
AUUGAACGCUGGCGGCAUGCCUUACACAUGCAAGUCGAACGGCAGCGGGGGAGAAGCUUGCUUUUCCUGCCGGCGAGUGGCGUACGGGUGAGUAAUACAUCGGAACGUGCCCUGUAGCGGGGGAUAACUAGUCGAAAGAUUAGCUAAUACCGCAUACGACCUGAGGGUGAAAGUGGGGGACCGCAAGGCCUCAUGCUAUAGGAGCGGCCGAUGUCUGAUUAGCUAGUUGGUGGGGUAAAGGCCUACCAAGGCUACGCUCAGUAGCUGGUCUGAGAGUAGGAUCAGCCACACUGGGACUGAGACACGGGCCGGACUCCUACGGGAGGGAGCAGUGGGGAAUGUUGGACAAUGGGCGAAAGCCUGACCCAGCAAUGCCGCGUGUGUGAAGAAGGCCUUCGGGUUGUAAAGCACUUUUGUCCGGAAAGAAAUGGCUCUGGUUAAUACCUGGGGUCGAUGACGGUACCGGAAGAAUAAGGACCGGCUAACUACGUGCCAGCCGCCGCCGUAA